RNAcentral lists this ribosomal RNA (253 nucleotides) under uncultured bacterium. Its description in RNAcentral is "partial 16S ribosomal RNA". It matches the Rfam family "Bacterial small subunit ribosomal RNA", at positions 524 to 776 of the family's 1533-position model. The record is from RNAcentral.
UACGGAGGGGGCUAGCGUUGUUCGGAAUUACUGGGCGUAAAGGGCGCGUAGGCGGUCCUGAUCGUCGGAUGUGAAAGGCCUGGGCUCAACCUGGGAAUGGCAUCCGAUACGGCGGGACUGGAGUGUGGGAGAGGUUGGUGGAAUUCCCAGUGUAGAGGUGAAAUUCGUAGAUAUUGGGAAGAACACCGGUGGCGAAGGCGGCCAACUGGACCACAACUGACGCUGAGGCGCGAAAGCGUGGGGAGCAAACAGG